This 164-nucleotide ribosomal RNA is filed under the name uncultured bacterium. RNAcentral's name for it is "partial 16S ribosomal RNA". It matches the Rfam family "Bacterial small subunit ribosomal RNA", at positions 355 to 511 of the family's 1533-position model. The record is from RNAcentral.
UAGGGAAUCUUCCACAAUGGGCGAAAGCCUGAUGGAGCAACGCCGCGUGUGUGAUGAAGGGUUUCGGCUCGUAAAACACUGUUGUAAGAGAAGAAUGACAUUGAGAGUAACUGUUCAAUGUGUGACGGUAUCUUACCAGAAAGCCACGGCUAACUACGUGCCAG